GCCUGGGUGGCUCAGUCGGUUGAGCGUCUGACUUCAGCUCAGGUCACGAUCUCACAGUUCGUGAGUUCGAGCCCCACAUCAGGCU
RNAcentral lists this transfer RNA (85 nucleotides) under Felis catus (domestic cat). It matches the Rfam family "tRNA". From Rfam's summary of the family: Transfer RNA (tRNA) molecules are approximately 80 nucleotides in length. Their secondary structure includes four short double-helical elements and three loops (D, anti-codon, and T loops). The record is from Rfam by way of RNAcentral. Lineage: Eukaryota; Metazoa; Chordata; Mammalia; Carnivora; Felidae.